CACAAGGAAGAGGGAGCACUGAGCUGCGUCAGUGAUGGCUGCUGAGUGUAUUUGAAGAGGAUUCACAGACUGGAGAUUCCAACCAAACAUCAUAUAAGAAUGUGACAGAAUUGGUGGAUUCAUCAGAUACCCAAUAUUAUAGCCCUUUGAGUAUUUCAGCUAAUAUUGCCAAUGCUCAGUGACCUGUGGAGAAGAUAAUGUUUGACCUUCCUGAACUGCUGCAGUCCAUGCGGUGAAGGUGCUCCCACAAUGCUGUUUGACAGCAACAAAAGCAGCAGAAUCCAACAUCGGUCUUCAACCUGUGAGCUUGCUGGCGUCUGAAAAGGUGGCCGAGUGAUUGAAUGCCUUUUGGCACUGAGAGCAGGUGACUGGUCUCUCCCCAGUCUGAACUCGUUGAUGUGUCAGAAGAUUGAAUGACUGAAUAAAGAACCUACCAUGCACAGAGCAGGUAUCGCUGUUCUGGCUCAGAAAUUACAAGUAUCUCUGGAAGUGGAGUUGAGACAAAAGAAAAACAGUGACAAUUCACAGCUGACCUUGAAGAGACCUCGUUGUCAGAACUACAUACAGUCACGGAUCAGGAAACGUCUGGAGGGCUAUGGGCAAAUGGCAGGGGAGCUGGGACAGAUUUGCAGCAUCACCUGAGGGAGCGAGUAUAGCCCCAACUGACCGAACACCCGCUCUGCUGUGUGAGACUGCAAAUGCACCAUGGACUGAGUAAUGAAGCUCAUCCGAGGGCAGAGAGAGAGAUGUUCCCGCCACUCACCUCUAACCACACAAUGGAGUCCGGCUGAUUGAUGGCAGCUCCACAACAAUAGGAGGAGAGUGGGUAUGGCUGGUGGACCAAGUGGCACGGACUGGUCCUCCUACCAAUCAGUGAAUGGGACAGACCAGCAGGAUGACAUGUGACCAUGAACCUGCCGGCACAGUUGGGAUGGAAAAAUGUCUUUCGUGGUGGGGUCGGAUUGUAGAUGGCGCAAGUGUCGGAGGAUGAUGCAUUGUAUCCGGAGGUUGGUGGGGUGGUAUGUGAGGACAAGGGGGAUUCUCUUUUCGCAGUUAUUGCAGGGGCGGGGUGUGAGGGAUGAGUUGUGGGAAAUGCGGGAGACUUGGUCGAGGGCGUUCUCGACCACUGAAGGGGGGAAGUUGCGGUCCUUGAAGAACGAGGACAUCCGGGAUGGACGAGAGUGGAGAUGCGGCGGAGGUGAAGGAAUUGGGAAUAGGGGGUGGAAUCUUUGCCGGAAGGUGGGUAGGAGCAGGUGUAUUCUAGGUACUGUGGGAGUUAGUGGGCAUGAAAUGGACAUCGGUUUCCACGUGGUUGCCUGAGAUAGAGACAGAGAGGGCCAGGAAGGUGAGGGAUGUGUUGGAGAUGGUCCAGGUGAACUUGAGGUUGGGGUGGAAGGUGUUGAUGAAGUGGAUGAACUGCUCGAGCUCCCCUUGGGAGCACGAAGCAGAGCUGAUAUAGUCAUCAAUGUAAUGGACGAAGAGGUGGGGUUUGGUGCCAGUGUAGGUGCAGAAGAGGGACUGUUCUAAGUGUCCUACAAAGAGGCAGGCAUAGUUGGGCCCAUGCGGGUACAUGUCUGCCUUCCGGAGAGAACACUCUCUCCGGGACUCCCUUGUCCGCUCCACACUCCCCUCCAACGCCACCACACCUGGCACUUCGCCCUGCAACUGCAGGAAGUGCUACACUUGCCCCCCACACCUCCUCCCUCACCCCCAUCCCAGGCACCAAGAUGACUUUCCACAUCAAGCAGAUGUUCACCUGCACAUCCGCUGAACCUAUUGUGGCUUCCUGUACAUUGGGGAAACCAAACAGAGGCUUGGGGAUCGCUUUGCAGAACACCUACGCUUGGUUCGCAGUAAACAAAUGCACCUCCCAGUCUCGAACCAUUUUAACUCCCCCUCCUAUUCCUUAGACAACAUGUCCAUCCUGGGCCUCCUGCAGUGCAAUUAUGAUGCCAUCUGAAGGUUGCAGGAACAGCAAUUCAUAUUCCGCUUGGGAACCCUGCAGCCCAAUGGUAUCAAUGUGGAUUUGACAACCUUCAAAAUCUCCCCCUCCCUCCCACUGCAUCCCAAAACCAGCCCAGUUCGUCCCUGCCUCCCUAACCAGCUCUUCCUCUCACCUAUCCACUCCUCCCUACCUCAAGCCGCACCUCCAUUUCCUACCCACUAACCUCAUCCUGCCCCCUUGACCUGUCCGUCCUCCCCGGACUGACCUAUCCCCUCCCUACCUCCCCACCUAUACUCUCCUCUCCACCUAUCUUCUCCUCUAUCCAUCUUCGGUCCGCCUCCCCCUUCCUCCCUAUUUAUUUCAGAACCCUCUCCUCAUCCCCCUCUCUGAUGGGUCUAGGCCCGGAACGUCAGCUUUUGUGCUCCUGAGAUGCUGCUUGGCCAGCUGUGCUCAUCCAGCUUCACACUUUGUUAUCUCAGAGUCUCCAGCAUCUGCAGAUCCUAUUAUCUCUGUUCACUGAGUGUAGUCGGAGAAGGGGCUUGUAUGGGAGCGACAGCGGAGACCAGGAGAAAAAUGGAGGUAAUGUGAACUUAUUUUUAAAAUAAGCAUCCGGUGUAGGCCGCUAGACCCGAAUUAGAAACUCUCAGGCUUGAACAAAGAAGGCCUUGCAGGCCUCAGGUGGUGAGCGGCCUGAACUACCACCGCCAUCUUUAUUAGGUACAAAGUGCAGCAGUGCGCAUGCACUUGUUUUCUCUGUGGGGAUGAGGCGACUUAAAGAGGAGGAUUUAUGCAGCAAACUGAAACCAAGAUAAAAUGUUUGUCUGUUCUAGAAUUCUAUCCAGGGAUGAUAGUGAUUAACUGUGUUGAACAGGAUAUUAAUGGGGAAUAAUUUGCAGACCAGGAUUUCAAAAUAGAGUCAGCAGAAUCAUCAGAAUGUGAGUAUCAUUGACAUUUAAUUGUGGAAGGAAAAGAGUUUGUUGGAUCUGCCUGGAAGGAAGAUAUCUCCGAUAUGUUUCUGUAAGACCAUAAGACAUAGGAGUGAAAGUAAGGCCGUUCGGCCCAUCAGGUCCACUCCGCCAUUUAAAUCAUGGCUGAUGGGCAUUUCAACUCCACUUCCCUGCACUCUCCCCGUAGCCCUUGAUUCCUUUUGAGAUCAAGAAUUUGUCGAUCACUGCCUUGAAGGCAUCCAACGUCCCGGCCUCCACUGCACUCCGUAGCAAUGAAUUCCACAGCCCACCACUCUCUGGCUAAAGAAGUGUCGUCUCAUUUCAGUUUUAAACUUACCCCCUCUAAUUUUAAGGCUGUGCCCACAGGUCCUAGGCUCCCCGCCUAACGGAAACAACUUGCUAGUGUCCACCCCUUCUAAACGAUACAUUAUCUUGUAAGUUUCUAUUAGAUCCACCCUCAACCUUCUAGACUCUAAUGAGUACAACCCCAGGAUCCUUAGCUGUUCACCAUACGUUAAACCUACCAUUCCAGGGAUCAUCCGUGUGAAUCUCCGCUGUACAUGCUCCAGGGCUACUAUGUCCUUCCUGAGGCGUGGGGCCCAAAAUUGGACACAGUAUUCUAAAUGGGGCCUAACUAGAGCUUUAUAAAGCUUCAGAAGCACAUCGCUGCUUUUAUAUUCCAACCCUCUUGAGAUAAACGACAACAUUACAUUCGCUUUCUUAAUUACGGACUCUACCUGCAAGUUAACCUUUAGAGAAUCCUGGACCAACGCUCCCAGAUCCCUUUGUACUUCUGCUUUGCGAAUUAUUCUCACCAUUUAGAAAAUAGUGCAUGCCUGUAUUCUUUUUUCCAAAGUGCAAAACUUCACAUUUACUCACAUUGAAUUUCAUCAGCCAUUUCCUGGACCACUCUCCUAAACUGUAAAUCUUUCUGCAGCUUCCCCACCUCUUCAGUACUACCUGCCUGUUCACCUAUCUUCGUAUCAUCGGCAAACUUCGCCAGAAUGCCCCCAGUCCCUUCAUCCAGAUCAUUAAUGUAUAAGGUGAACAGCUGCGGCCCCUGCAGGACACCACUCGUCACCGGUUGCCAUUCCGAAAAAGAGCCUUUUAUCCCAACUCUCUGCCUUCUGUCAAGUUCUAAGUUGAAAAGCAGCAAGAUAUUCAGUUUCGUAGUUAGACUCCACUUGUGGUUUGUGUUCACUUGUAGGCCCUGCAGCUGAGGAAGGACAUGUUGGGCUGAGAGGGUGGCACAGAUUUAUCCCAAUAACACCUUGUCUCUUUGAAAUGACUGUCAUAGUUUGUGACAGUUUCAUACUUAAUGAUUUUACCUCAUAAAUUCUUCAUUCACAAAUAUCUAUAAGAUUUGUUUUAAAGUCCCUUUCACAUUCCAGAUCUUGAUGACUCUAUUGAUCCUAAAACUGCCGAGCCCUCAUUGAGUCUGGAGGGCAUGAUGUGGAGCUGCUGAUGUUGGACUGGAGUGGACCAAGUCAGAAAUCACAUAAUACCAGGUUAUAGUCCAGCAGAUAGAAAUCGUGACAAGAGAGUACCAAAAUGUCAGCUUUCCUGCUCCUAAGAUGCGGCUUGGCCUGUUGUGUUCAUCCAACUCUACACGUUGUCAUCUCAGAUUCUCCAGCAUCUGCAGUUCCAACUAUCUCUGAAACAAUUUUAACCCCAGUGCGAAGCCUCUUCUAAGGAUGUCUUCCCUGCAGAAGUUACCCUCCUCCCUCCGGAAAAACCUCAGUGGAUCUCUCUCCCACUGCAACUCUCUCGUAAUCUCUUUGACCUUGAAACUGCUUGACCACGUCCUGAAGCAAACCAGGUACUACAGCCACAUCAUCUUUCUUAGUACCUGCCUACAGAACUAGAUCAUCCCGAAUGGACUACAAUCCACAUUCAAGCCUUCCCAAUUUAGCCCCAACUGUGACAAUAUCCACAUUCAGAACAUUGAGACUCUUC
Stegostoma tigrinum is the source of this 4848-nucleotide RNA transcript. It is a transcript of the gene named zinc finger protein 3-like, with no coding region annotated. The record is from RefSeq and is a predicted model, not a curated record. The transcript is spliced from 7 exons. Lineage: Eukaryota; Metazoa; Chordata; Chondrichthyes; Orectolobiformes; Stegostomatidae.